RNAcentral lists this ribosomal RNA (521 nucleotides) under uncultured bacterium. RNAcentral describes it as "bacterial SSU rRNA". It matches the Rfam family "Bacterial small subunit ribosomal RNA", at positions 8 to 518 of the family's 1533-position model. The record is from RNAcentral.
AGAGUUGAUCCUGGCUCAGGAUGAACGCUAGCUACAGGCUUAACACAUGCAAGUCGAGGGGCAGCAUGUUGGUUGCUUGCAACCAAUGAUGGCGACCGGCGCACGGGUGAGUAACGCGUAUCCAACCUUCCCUAUAGUAGAGGAUAGCCCGGCGAAAGUCGGAUUAAUACUCUAUGUUUUCCAAUGCAGACAUCUAAGUUGGAACAAAGGUUCACCGCUAUAGGAUGGGGAUGCGUCUGAUUAGAUAGUCGGCGGGGUAACGGCCCACCGAGUCGACGAUCAGUAGGGGUUCUGAGAGGAAGGUCCCCCACAUCGGAACUGAGACACGGUCCAAACUCCUACGGGAGGCAGCAGUGAGGAAUAUUGGUCAAUGGGCGAGAGCCUGAACCAGCCAAGUAAGCGUGCAGGAUGACGGCCCUAUGGGUUGUAAACUGCUUUUAUACAGGGAUAAAGUGACGUACGUGUACGUUUUUGUAGGUACUGUAUGAAUAAGGACCGGCUAAUUCCGUGCCAGCCGCCGC